Molecule: ribosomal RNA, 245 nt
Filed under: uncultured bacterium
Lineage: Bacteria
Description: partial 16S ribosomal RNA
Rfam family: Bacterial small subunit ribosomal RNA
Source: RNAcentral
UAUGGCGACCGGCGCACGGUGAGUAACACGUAUCCAACCUGCCGAUGACUCGGGGAUAGCCUUUCGAAAGAAAGAUUAAUACCCGAUGGCAUAGUUCUUCCGCAUGGUAGAACUAUUAAAGAAUUUCGGUCAUCGAUGGGGAUGCGUUCCAUUAGGUUGUUGGCGGGGUAACGGCCCACCAAGCCUUCGAUGGAUAGGGGUUCUGAGAGGAAGGUCCCCCACAUUGGAACUGAGACACGGUCCAA